This 88-nucleotide transfer RNA is filed under the name Campylobacter sp. LR185c. RNAcentral's name for it is "tRNA-Leu". It matches the Rfam family "tRNA". From Rfam's summary of the family: Transfer RNA (tRNA) molecules are approximately 80 nucleotides in length. Their secondary structure includes four short double-helical elements and three loops (D, anti-codon, and T loops). Further hydrogen bonds mediate the characteristic L-shaped molecular structure. tRNAs have two regions of fundamental functional importance: the anti-codon, which is responsible for specific mRNA codon recognition, and the 3' end, to which the tRNAs corresponding amino acid is attached (by aminoacyl-tRNA synthetases). tRNAs cope with the degeneracy of the genetic code in two manners: having more than one tRNA (with a specific anti-codon) for a particular amino acid; and 'wobble' base-pairing, i.e. permitting non-standard base-pairing at the 3rd anti-codon position. RNAcentral also lists the same sequence under 4 other names. The record is from RNAcentral. Lineage: Bacteria; Pseudomonadati; Campylobacterota; Epsilonproteobacteria; Campylobacterales; Campylobacteraceae.
GCCCGGGUGGUGGAAUUGGUAGACACAAGGGACUUAAAAUCCCUCGGAAAUUAUUUCCGUACCGGUUCAAGUCCGGUCUCGGGCACCA